This 684-nucleotide long non-coding RNA is filed under the name Homo sapiens (human). Its description in RNAcentral is "HSALNT0313809". Lineage: Eukaryota; Metazoa; Chordata; Mammalia; Primates; Hominidae. The record is from RNAcentral.
UGAGCAAGGACAGCUUGGAGGUUAAAAGCAAGAUACAGUCAGGUCUCACAUCGAGGUCACGCUGAUGAAAAAGGAACUACAGUACUGUUAUGUCAGUAACAUACAUCACAGUCGUACGUCUCCAGGCUUCUUAUCUUCCUUUGAACCUGACCUGGCUACUGUUUGGUGGAUUAUAGAGGAAAAGCUGUAAUGGGAAAGUAGGUUGGGUGAAGGGAUGAGAAAAAGGAAAGCAUCGUGGAGCACAUUAGCAGGCUUUCUCCAUGAAGAAGCAGCCCCAGGCUCCAGAAGCAGAUGAGAAGAUGAGGAGACAAGCAGAUGGAUUGCAAAAUGGUGCAAUAGAGAAAGAGAAAAGAAGAGGAAUGUCUGAACACUGAGAGAUUUCCAGCUGGGGUGGUCAGAGAAGGGUUCAGCCACAAGAUGGCCAAAAUCCAGGGAAGAUCUUCUUCCCACUCCAUUCCCUGCUUCUUGUUCCCCAUCCAUCCCACUGAGAGCCACCUCUACCACUCAAUAAAACCUCUCAUUCAUCCUUCAAGCCCGUGUGUGACCUGAUUUUUCCAAGAUGCUGGGCAAGAGCUCAGGACACAGAAAGCUGUUGAACUGCCCCUCUGCCCUUGCAGAAAGGCAGAGAGUCCACUGAGCUGAUUAACACCCAAGCCAUUCGUGGAUGGCAAGGCUAAAAGGGCA